UCCCAGAUGAUGCUAGAUACUGUCAAACUGA
Molecule: non-coding RNA, 31 nt
Filed under: Rattus norvegicus (Norway rat)
Lineage: Eukaryota; Metazoa; Chordata; Mammalia; Rodentia; Muridae
Source: RNAcentral